GGGGUCUCAGGCACACUCAAUAGUGAUUCCUUCAUUAGGGAAGGAGCUAUGAGCCCACCCAACCCUUGAUCCAGGGCAGUGUUGAGAUCUCAGUGCCUCCCGCGGCCCUCCCUGCACUGGAGGUGGGUGAGGGUGUUGGUUCCAGACCAAAGAUCCCGCCGGGGAUGGAGCCGCUGCCUCCUCUUGCCUUCGCACCUCGGUGGCUGGGGUGACUCGUUCUCCCCGCGGCCUCUUGAGGAUGAGGUGCAGUCUCUUCCCAGGCUCCACGAGUUUUCGGGGCUCAAAGAAACACCAGCAGCGUCCCGGGAGGAGAAAGAGGGUCCCCCGUCCUUUGGGGCCGCGCGGGACCCGGCUGCGGGGGCUGGACCCCCCGCUACCCAUUUCCGAAAAGUCGCCGCAGAUUUUCGGCCACCAGAAGCCGCCUAGUGCAAGGCAAGCGUCGGAGUUUGGAGAGGCCUGGGCAGGUGUGACCGGGUGGUGCAGAGGCUUCUCAAGAAAGGGGCAGCUUUUUUUGCGGGGGGUGUGUGUGUGGGGGAAGCUUUCGUCCGAAAUUUAGCUCCGCUGGGGCUUGGGAUAUUUGCUUUUCCUCCCCAACGUCUGCUUUAUUCUCUUCCAAAGAGCAUGUUCUGUUGCCGGAUUCUGGGCAUUUUCCGACCUCCUCAAAAAGGAUAUGCCGGGAAAGGAACAUGCAGAUAGUUUAACAUUCUUUGGUUGGAGUCUGAGGAAGUGUCACCUUGACGCUAAGGAGACUUGGCGCUUUCAGGGAGUGUAAAACUUGCAAAAUUAAGAUCCCCCCCCCCAUCCGUCUUUCCUAAAGACAACUUUCUCUUCCCCUGCCCCAGCUUUCUUCAGCAUAAAGCCUUGAUGAGCCCUAGGCUGGAAUCACUGGAAGUUAAGGAGUCUGGGGGGGAGGGGGAUUUGAAAAGUUGCAGCUGUAAUGGAGGUGCUGGGCGGGGGUGGGGGGGGGAGAGAAAGAACUAGAAAGUCCUGGAAGUGGGGCGGGAGUGGCUUUAGAUUGAAGCAAAGGUCAGGAUGACCCCAGGGGAGAAGCCUUUGUCGUGUCCCCCCCCCCACUUCCUUUCUCUCCCAUUCCUGCUUCCAGUCCUCACUCAGGCUUGUAGUUAACAGUAGUAUUUUUAGAUUUAAAAUUUUGCCAAGUGAGAUUUUUCCUUAAGUGUACGUGUUACAUGCAAAAAAAAAUACAUAAAUUACGUAUAUAUAUAUAUAUGAGGGGGUGAGAGGAAACUUGAGGAGGUGAUGUAUUUGUUUUCAUAGCUUGUGGUUUUUCCACUGUAUGCUUCUCUCCAACCUGAUGAAGUUGCUUAUAUUGAAUAUUUAUGGCUUGUUUGUGUGUCAGUCAUACCUCAAUAAAAUGGUUUUUAAAAAAGCUGCA
Molecule: long non-coding RNA, 1393 nt
Filed under: Sus scrofa (pig)
Lineage: Eukaryota; Metazoa; Chordata; Mammalia; Artiodactyla; Suidae
Description: lncRNA (ENSSSCG00055006153.1)
Source: RNAcentral